Molecule: ribosomal RNA, 2903 nt
Filed under: Escherichia coli
Lineage: Bacteria; Pseudomonadati; Pseudomonadota; Gammaproteobacteria; Enterobacterales; Enterobacteriaceae
Description: 23S ribosomal RNA
Rfam family: Bacterial large subunit ribosomal RNA
Source: RNAcentral
GGUUAAGCGACUAAGCGUACACGGUGGAUGCCCUGGCAGUCAGAGGCGAUGAAGGACGUGCUAAUCUGCGAUAAGCGUCGGUAAGGUGAUAUGAACCGUUAUAACCGGCGAUUUCCGAAUGGGGAAACCCAGUGUGUUUCGACACACUAUCAUUAACUGAAUCCAUAGGUUAAUGAGGCGAACCGGGGGAACUGAAACAUCUAAGUACCCCGAGGAAAAGAAAUCAACCGAGAUUCCCCCAGUAGCGGCGAGCGAACGGGGAGCAGCCCAGAGCCUGAAUCAGUGUGUGUGUUAGUGGAAGCGUCUGGAAAGGCGCGCGAUACAGGGUGACAGCCCCGUACACAAAAAUGCACAUGCUGUGAGCUCGAUGAGUAGGGCGGGACACGUGGUAUCCUGUCUGAAUAUGGGGGGACCAUCCUCCAAGGCUAAAUACUCCUGACUGACCGAUAGUGAACCAGUACCGUGAGGGAAAGGCGAAAAGAACCCCGGCGAGGGGAGUGAAAAAGAACCUGAAACCGUGUACGUACAAGCAGUGGGAGCACGCUUAGGCGUGUGACUGCGUACCUUUUGUAUAAUGGGUCAGCGACUUAUAUUCUGUAGCAAGGUUAACCGAAUAGGGGAGCCGAAGGGAAACCGAGUCUUAACUGGGCGUUAAGUUGCAGGGUAUAGACCCGAAACCCGGUGAUCUAGCCAUGGGCAGGUUGAAGGUUGGGUAACACUAACUGGAGGACCGAACCGACUAAUGUUGAAAAAUUAGCGGAUGACUUGUGGCUGGGGGUGAAAGGCCAAUCAAACCGGGAGAUAGCUGGUUCUCCCCGAAAGCUAUUUAGGUAGCGCCUCGUGAAUUCAUCUCUGGGGGUAGAGCACUGUUUCGGCAAGGGGGUCAUCCCGACUUACCAACCCGAUGCAAACUGCGAAUACCGGAGAAUGUUAUCACGGGAGACACACGGCGGGUGCUAACGUCCGUCGUGAAGAGGGAAACAACCCAGACCGCCAGCUAAGGUCCCAAAGUCAUGGUUAAGUGGGAAACGAUGUGGGAAGGCCCAGACAGCCAGGAUGUUGGCUUAGAAGCAGCCAUCAUUUAAAGAAAGCGUAAUAGCUCACUGGUCGAGUCGGCCUGCGCGGAAGAUGUAACGGGGCUAAACCAUGCACCGAAGCUGCGGCAGCGACGCUUAUGCGUUGUUGGGUAGGGGAGCGUUCUGUAAGCCUGCGAAGGUGUGCUGUGAGGCAUGCUGGAGGUAUCAGAAGUGCGAAUGCUGACAUAAGUAACGAUAAAGCGGGUGAAAAGCCCGCUCGCCGGAAGACCAAGGGUUCCUGUCCAACGUUAAUCGGGGCAGGGUGAGUCGACCCCUAAGGCGAGGCCGAAAGGCGUAGUCGAUGGGAAACAGGUUAAUAUUCCUGUACUUGGUGUUACUGCGAAGGGGGACGGAGAAGGCUAUGUUGGCCGGGCGACGGUUGUCCCGGUUUAAGCGUGUAGGCUGGUUUUCCAGGCAAAUCCGGAAAAUCAAGGCUGAGGCGUGAUGACGAGGCACUACGGUGCUGAAGCAACAAAUGCCCUGCUUCCAGGAAAAGCCUCUAAGCAUCAGGUAACAUCAAAUCGUACCCCAAACCGACACAGGUGGUCAGGUAGAGAAUACCAAGGCGCUUGAGAGAACUCGGGUGAAGGAACUAGGCAAAAUGGUGCCGUAACUUCGGGAGAAGGCACGCUGAUAUGUAGGUGAAGUCCCUUGCGGAUGGAGCUGAAAUCAGUCGAAGAUACCAGCUGGCUGCAACUGUUUAUUAAAAACACAGCACUGUGCAAACACGAAAGUGGACGUAUACGGUGUGACGCCUGCCCGGUGCCGGAAGGUUAAUUGAUGGGGUCAGCGCAAGCGAAGCUCUUGAUCGAAGCCCCGGUAAACGGCGGCCGUAACUAUAACGGUCCUAAGGUAGCGAAAUUCCUUGUCGGGUAAGUUCCGACCUGCACGAAUGGCGUAAUGAUGGCCAGGCUGUCUCCACCCGAGACUCAGUGAAAUUGAACUCGCUGUGAAGAUGCAGUGUACCCGCGGCAAGACGGAAAGACCCCGUGAACCUUUACUAUAGCUUGACACUGAACAUUGAGCCUUGAUGUGUAGGAUAGGUGGGAGGCUUUGAAGUGUGGACGCCAGUCUGCAUGGAGCCGACCUUGAAAUACCACCCUUUAAUGUUUGAUGUUCUAACGUUGACCCGUAAUCCGGGUUGCGGACAGUGUCUGGUGGGUAGUUUGACUGGGGCGGUCUCCUCCUAAAGAGUAACGGAGGAGCACGAAGGUUGGCUAAUCCUGGUCGGACAUCAGGAGGUUAGUGCAAUGGCAUAAGCCAGCUUGACUGCGAGCGUGACGGCGCGAGCAGGUGCGAAAGCAGGUCAUAGUGAUCCGGUGGUUCUGAAUGGAAGGGCCAUCGCUCAACGGAUAAAAGGUACUCCGGGGAUAACAGGCUGAUACCGCCCAAGAGUUCAUAUCGACGGCGGUGUUUGGCACCUCGAUGUCGGCUCAUCACAUCCUGGGGCUGAAGUAGGUCCCAAGGGUAUGGCUGUUCGCCAUUUAAAGUGGUACGCGAGCUGGGUUUAGAACGUCGUGAGACAGUUCGGUCCCUAUCUGCCGUGGGCGCUGGAGAACUGAGGGGGGCUGCUCCUAGUACGAGAGGACCGGAGUGGACGCAUCACUGGUGUUCGGGUUGUCAUGCCAAUGGCACUGCCCGGUAGCUAAAUGCGGAAGAGAUAAGUGCUGAAAGCAUCUAAGCACGAAACUUGCCCCGAGAUGAGUUCUCCCUGACUCCUUGAGAGUCCUGAAGGAACGUUGAAGACGACGACGUUGAUAGGCCGGGUGUGUAAGCGCAGCGAUGCGUUGAGCUAACCGGUACUAAUGAACCGUGAGGCUUAACCUU